CAAUCUGGAGAGAGGCGCCUGGCGCCCACCGAAGGGGAACCCGCGCCGCCGCGCCCGGGUGAAGCUCUCAGGUACAGAGACAGAUGG
This 87-nucleotide non-coding RNA is filed under the name Achromobacter insuavis. Its description in RNAcentral is "Glycine sequence". It matches the Rfam family "Glycine riboswitch aptamer", at positions 7 to 88 of the family's 94-position model. From Rfam's summary of the family: This family represents the bacterial glycine riboswitch. Glycine riboswitches usually consist of two metabolite-binding aptamers domains with similar structures in tandem. The record is from RNAcentral. Lineage: Bacteria; Pseudomonadati; Pseudomonadota; Betaproteobacteria; Burkholderiales; Alcaligenaceae.